GAUGAACGCUGGCGGCGUGCCUAAUACAUGCAAGUCGAGCGAACGGACGAGAAUCUUGCUUUUCUGAUGUUAGCGGCGGACGGGUGAGGAACACGUGGAUAACCUACCUAUAAGACUGGGAUAGCUUCGGGAAACCGGAGCUAAUACCGGAUAAUAUUUUGAACCGCAUGGUUCAAAAGUGAAAGACGGUCUUGCUGUCACUGAUAGAUGGAGCCGCGCUGCAUUAGCUAGUUGGUAAGGUAACGGCUUACCAAGGCAACGAUGCAUAGCCGACCUGAGAGGGUGAUCGGCCACACUGGAACUGAGACACGGUCCAGACUCCUACGGGAGGCAGCAGUAGGGAAUCUUCCGCAAUGGGCGAAAGCCUGACGGAGCAACGCCGCGUGAGUGAUGAAGGUCUUCGGAUCGUAAAACUCUGUUAUUAGGGAAGAACAUAUGUGUAAGUAACUGUGCACAUCUUGACGGUACCUAAUCAGAAAGCCACGGCUAACUACGUG
RNAcentral lists this ribosomal RNA (497 nucleotides) under uncultured bacterium. RNAcentral describes it as "partial 16S ribosomal RNA". It matches the Rfam family "Bacterial small subunit ribosomal RNA", at positions 28 to 507 of the family's 1533-position model. The record is from RNAcentral.